AAAUUGAAGAGUUUGAUCAUGGCUCAGAUUGAACGCUGGCGGCAGGCCUAACACAUGCAAGUCGAGCGGUAGCACAGAGAGCUUGCUCUCGGGUGACGAGCGGCGGACGGGUGAGUAAUGUCUGGGAAACUGCCUGAUGGAGGGGGAUAACUACUGGAAACGGUAGCUAAUACCGCAUAAUGUCGCAAGACCAAAGUGGGGGACCUUCGGGCCUCAUGCCAUCAGAUGUGCCCAGAUGGGAUUAGCUAGUAGGUGGGGUAACGGCUCACCUAGGCGACGAUCCCUAGCUGGUCUUAGAGGAUGACCAGCCACACUGGAACUGAGACACGGUCCAGACUCCUACGGGAGGCAGCAGUGGGGAAUAUUGCACAAUGGGCGCAAGCCUGAUGCAGCCAUGCCGCGUGUGUGAAGAAGGCCUUCGGGUUGUAAAGCACUUUCAGCGGGGAGGAAGGCGGUGAGGUUAAUAACCUCAUCGAUUGACGUUACCCGCAGAAGAAGCACCGGCUAACUCCGUGCCAGCAGCCGCGGUAAUACGGAGGGUGCAAGCGUUAAUCGGAAUUACUGGGCGUAAAGCGCACGCAGGCGGUCUGUCAAGUCGGAUGUGAAAUCCCCGGGCUCAACCUGGGAACUGCAUUCGAAACUGGCAGGCUAGAGUCUUGUAGAGGGGGGUAGAAUUCCAGGUGUAGCGGUGAAAUGCGUAGAGAUCUGGAGGAAUACCGGUGGCGAAGGCGGCCCCCUGGACAAAGACUGACGCUCAGGUGCGAAAGCGUGGGGAGCAAACAGGAUUAGAUACCCUGGUAGUCCACGCCGUAAACGAUGUCGAUUUGGAGGUUGUGCCCUUGAGGCGUGGCUUCCGGAGCUAACGCGUUAAAUCGACCGCCUGGGGAGUACGGCCGCAAGGUUAAAACUCAAAUGAAUUGACGGGGGCCCGCACAAGCGGUGGAGCAUGUGGUUUAAUUCGAUGCAACGCGAAGAACCUUACCUGGUCUUGACAUCCACAGAACUUAGCAGAGAUGCUUUGGUGCCUUCGGGAACUGUGAGACAGGUGCUGCAUGGCUGUCGUCAGCUCGUGUUGUGAAAUGUUGGGUUAAGUCCCGCAACGAGCGCAACCCUUAUCCUUUGUUGCCAGCGGUCCGGCCGGGAACUCAAAGGAGACUGCCAGUGAUAAACUGGAGGAAGGUGGGGAUGACGUCAAGUCAUCAUGGCCCUUACGACCAGGGCUACACACGUGCUACAAUGGCAUAUACAAAGAGAAGCGACCUCGCGAGAGCAAGCGGACCUCAUAAAGUAUGUCGUAGUCCGGAUUGGAGUCUGCAACUCGACUCCAUGAAGUCGGAAUCGCUAGUAAUCGUAGAUCAGAAUGCUACGGUGAAUACGUUCCCGGGCCUUGUACACACCGCCCGUCACACCAUGGGAGUGGGUUGCAAAAGAAGUAGGUAGCUUAACCUUCGGGAGGGCGCUUACCACUUUGUGAUUCAUGACUGGGGUGAAGUCGUAACAAGGUAACCGUAGGGGAACCUGCGGUUGGAUCACCUCCUUACCUUAAAGAA
RNAcentral lists this ribosomal RNA (1550 nucleotides) under Klebsiella pneumoniae. RNAcentral describes it as "16S ribosomal RNA". It matches the Rfam family "Bacterial small subunit ribosomal RNA". The record is from RNAcentral. Lineage: Bacteria; Pseudomonadati; Pseudomonadota; Gammaproteobacteria; Enterobacterales; Enterobacteriaceae.